This is a non-coding RNA of Schizosaccharomyces pombe (fission yeast), 423 nucleotides long. The record is from the annotation of a GenBank genome assembly. Lineage: Eukaryota; Fungi; Ascomycota; Schizosaccharomycetes; Schizosaccharomycetales; Schizosaccharomycetaceae.
UCAGUACCCUUGGCUUGCGCCUCUGACAACACAUUUUUUACGUUUUCACGAGGUUUGUCGAGUUCAUCGACAACCCUCUCCUUCCCACUUUGGAGAUAAGAUUUUGCCUUUUCAGUGGUUUCGCCAACAGCUUUGUCAAAUCGUUGACCCUCAUUUUCCACGGCUCUGACGAUUUCUGCAUUCUUCUGUUCCAAUCUGGAAGAUGCCUGACGAUUAUGGCGAGUCAUAUAAUAACCAACACCAACAGCAGCGGCCAAGGCUCCAAGAGUAACACGCCUAUUCAUGAUGCUCGAUUAGGAUUUCGUGAAUUAACCGAGUAAAAAAAAAUUAAUAAAUCGAAAGGUUAUAUAAAAGCGGUUUUCUCCGUACAACACAAAGGAUUGAUAUAAUAUUCAAUCGAGCGCACGAAAAAAAAUUAGAUUU